GCUCCUGGAUAGCUCAGUUGGUUAAAGCGUGGUGCCGAUAACGCCAAGGUUGCAGGUGCGAUCCCCAUUCGGGACA
This is a non-coding RNA of Podarcis lilfordi (Lilford's wall lizard), 76 nucleotides long. The record is from the annotation of a GenBank genome assembly. Lineage: Eukaryota; Metazoa; Chordata; Lepidosauria; Squamata; Lacertidae.